Molecule: ribosomal RNA, 460 nt
Filed under: uncultured bacterium
Lineage: Bacteria
Description: partial 16S ribosomal RNA
Rfam family: Bacterial small subunit ribosomal RNA
Source: RNAcentral
CCUACGGGAGGCAGCAGUGAGGAAUAUUGGUCAAUGGUCGUAAGCCUGAACCAGCCAAGUCGCGUGAGGGAUGAAGGUUCUAUGUAUCGUAAACCUCUUUUAUAAGGGAAUAAAGUGUGGGACGUGUCCUGUUUUGUAUGUACCUUAUGAAUAAGGAUCGGCUAACUCCGUGCCAGCAGCCGCGGUAAUACGGAGGAUGCGAGCGUUAUCCGGAUUUAUUGGGUUUAAAGGGUGCGUAGGCGGCCUUUUAAGUCAGCGGUGAAAGUCUGUGGCUCAACCAUGGCAUUGCCGUUGAAACUGGGAGGCUUGAGUAUGUUUGAGGCAGGCGGAAUGCGUGGUGUAGCGGUGAAAUGCUUAGAUAUCACGCAGAACCCCGAUUGCGAAGGCAGCAUGCCAGGCCAUGACUGACGCUGAUGCACGAAAGCGUGGGGAUCAAACAGGAUUAGAUACCCCUGUAGUC